This 984-nucleotide long non-coding RNA is filed under the name Mytilus galloprovincialis (Mediterranean mussel). Lineage: Eukaryota; Metazoa; Mollusca; Bivalvia; Mytilida; Mytilidae. The record is from RNAcentral.
CCCAUGUGUAAAAAUAUCUACAGGUAAAAAUUCUUUUUAACAGGAAGUUCAUCAUCAAAGGAUGUGAAAAAGCAUCUUACACUUUAGCAUGCUUAGAUGAAGCGUGAUACCAAAUUCAGAAAGGUUGAAUUGUAGUUCUUGAGAAAAGCAUACUAACAUGAAGAUCAUGAUAUAAAAUUUAAGGAAGAACUAGUUUGUAUAUCCUCAGGAAAUGUAGAGAAAAAUUUCAUAUAUGGACAUUUGUAAAAAGGCAAGAGUAUUCAUUUAACAUGAAGUUGACGAGAGAUAGAUGUGAAAAAGCUUUAUAUAAUAUAACAUGCUCACAAGAAGCAUGAUAACAUAUUUCAAGUAACUGAUUUGAAGUUACUGACAGAGUAAAUGUGCAACAAAUUUUUGAAAACAGACAGACAGAAGUAGACAACUAGACCUACGGUGAAAGGGUUAAAAAAAAAGGCCUGUGCACCUUUUUUUUUUUUAGCUAAUCAGAACCAGAGUAACAACAAUCAGUCAGUAUCUCAAAACCAACUUUCAUGUCAAUCUACCUCUUGAAGUGGAAUUAUUUCUUUAACAACAUCAAAUCUACUACAAAAAUUGUGAUUGCUUAUAGUAUGAGGAGUAAUUCUUAUUUAAAUUUGGUUUUAUAGUGGACCUGUCAACAAAGUCCAAGGAUUGGGAUACAUAUCUACUUGUCCCAUUCACUUCAGCAUAUCUGAGAAUCAAGGUGCUCAUAAUGCAUGGAACAGCAGCAGAUACCAAGAAAAGAUAAAGAGCUCAUAUGAAUAGGAUGCAAGGAAAUCUUCAGACAAUACCAAAUUCAUUAUAGUCAAAGCAUACAUGUACUUUAGAAACUAAGAUAACCAACAUGAACAAUAUACAAACAAAUAGGACAGCUUAGUAAAUUAAUUUGGUAUUGGGACAAAACUGAAAGACAUCUUCCAUAGGUAUCACCUGAUUUUGAAUUCAAACAUUUACAUGUAGAAAGAC